Molecule: ribosomal RNA, 395 nt
Filed under: uncultured bacterium
Lineage: Bacteria
Description: bacterial SSU rRNA
Rfam family: Bacterial small subunit ribosomal RNA
Source: RNAcentral
UGGGGAAUAUUGGACAAUGGGCGAAAGCCUGAUCCAGCAAUGCCGCGUGAGUGAUGAAGGCCCUAGGGUUGUAAAGCUCUUUUACCCGGGAUGAUAAUGACAGUACCGGGAGAAUAAGCUCCGGCUAACUUCGUGCCAGCAGCCGCGGUAAUACGGAGGGUGCGAGCGUUCUCCGGAUUUACUGGGUUUAAAGGGUGCGUAGGUGGGCUUAUAAGUCAGUGGUGAAAUCUCCGAGCUUAACUUGGAAACUGCCGUUGAUACUAUAGGUCUUGAAUUAUCUGGAGGUAAGCGGAAUAUGUCAUGUAGCGGUGAAAUGCGUAGAUAUGACAUAGAACACCAAUUGCGAAGGCAGCUUACUACAUAUAAAUUGACGCUGAGGCACGAAAGCGUGGGGA